CGAUCUUCGUCGAUUCAAUUCGAUCUCUCACUCUCAUCCACCAUUAAAAUGAUCUUCAAAACGGUUUAAUCAAAUUAUAUCUGGCUCUCUUGUGCUAAAAGUUGAAUUAUUGUUUCUGUUGAAAAAUGGAUGGAGCUUUUGAGGACGAGAAUGAUCAGACUAUAACCAUCAAUGAGUAUCUUAACAAGGUUGAAGCCGAGGAGUUGGAAGCGGAUUUGGUUUUGGGCGGAGAUGAGGGCAAAGAGUGCACCUAUACUAUGGGGUAUAUGAAGAG
This 274-nucleotide unclassified non-coding RNA is filed under the name Hevea brasiliensis (rubber tree). The record is from RNAcentral. Lineage: Eukaryota; Viridiplantae; Streptophyta; Magnoliopsida; Malpighiales; Euphorbiaceae.